Molecule: small nucleolar RNA, 132 nt
Filed under: Carlito syrichta (Philippine tarsier)
Lineage: Eukaryota; Metazoa; Chordata; Mammalia; Primates; Tarsiidae
Description: Small Cajal body specific RNA 21 (ENSTSYG00000025153.2)
Rfam family: Small Cajal body specific RNA 21
About the family: scaRNAs are a specific class of small nuclear RNAs which localise to the Cajal bodies and guide the modification of RNA polymerase II transcribed spliceosomal RNAs U1, U2, U4, U5 and U12. ACA68 (SCARNA21) is a member of the H/ACA class of snoRNAs that guide the sites of modification of uridines to pseudouridines. This snoRNA was identified by computational screening and its expression in mouse experimentally verified by Northern blot and primer extension analysis.
Source: Rfam by way of RNAcentral
AGGUUCAGUCUUCUGAGGUUGGUCCAGCCUGCCCCAACACCCUCAGCUGAGCCUGGAAUGGAGGGUCAGGCAGCUCUACAUGGGAGAGGCAUUAAGUAAAGCGCCUCCCUGGGCUGUCCUGGCCUCACUCUG